Molecule: long non-coding RNA, 3176 nt
Organism: Herpailurus yagouaroundi (jaguarundi)
Lineage: Eukaryota; Metazoa; Chordata; Mammalia; Carnivora; Felidae
Exons: 3
Source: RefSeq, a predicted model, not a curated record
GGCGUAAACUGUGUCCAAGGUUGUGUGUCGUGGGCGUGCCCUUUUAUGGAGAGAGCCCCUCUGGCUGCUUCCCGUCAGUCCCUUAAAGGCUCUGGACCAUCAAGAUGUAAAGAACUGUUGUCUCCUCAUGUUCUUGCUCUCACACCUCUGGGCGAGGUUCUUCCGGGUCACCCCGUGCAAAAAAGCAGAGGCAUGCCUGCAUGUAGGGCCAACAACUACCCAGUCCUGCUGGCCCCCUCCCUCUGCCAGGUCUAGCCCCUAAGGGAUCAGACCCCCGUGAGGUCUGAUGGUGCUUGGGAAGCCAACCAGGGCCCUGCGGGAGAGAAGGCUAAGGCACUUGGGGCACCUUCCCCGGCACAGAGCAUGCUCGUAGGCGGUGGUGGCUGCCCCCGUGUCGUCCGCAGGGCUGCGGGAGUGCUAACGUUGUGUGCGCUUGCCCCUGACCCAGGCCCUGGCUGACGCUUUAGUGCGGAGGACAGUGGGGGCCACGGGGACAGGGAGCAGUUCCCAAGUCAUAGAGAGCUGGACCCCGGCACGCACUGCGUGCUGAACAUCAGGCAAGCCCUCAGCUCCUUCCUCUGUCAUGUGGGGAUAAGAACACUGUGUCAAGAAUUGGGAGGGGAGGAGGAGGGGCCGCAGAGUCUCCAAGCAGAGUGCAGGUGUUCUGCAAAGGACUCUGCGAGCCGCACUGGGGUCUUCCCAUGGGUGUUUUCUCCGCCAACCCCGAGGACCCGGAGGAUGAGCCCUUGUGUCUCCCCCAGAAGGCUUUCUUUUCCCUCCGGAUGCCCCAUCUCUACUGGCAGGGAACACUCAGUCUUCCUGGAGGCUGGCUUCACAGACCUUACCCAACACCUUCCAAACUUGCCUGGACCCUUUGUGUGGGGAGUACGACUGAUGGCAUCUCCAAAUAACCCAGGCUGGGAAACACUCUGGUGCCUGUCAUCUCUGGCCUGGAGGACUGCCAGGCAUGGUGACCAGCAGGGAAACUUGCUGACCAGGCCCCUCCCUAGGGACCAGGGGCUCCACGCACCUGCAGGCAAACCACAAUCUGAGCGGGCAGGUUGGGCGUGUGGUUGGGGCAAAUGCCACCUCAGUGGAAGAGGGUCCUGGCCAGUCCCUCACUUGGGAUCUGAAUGUCAUCCUUUUCCUCUUCUGCAGAGACCUGAUUCCAUCUUUCCUUACUCUGAGUUUGUUUUUUUUUACUCCACUUUUCCCUCUUUCCUGACUUGUUUGUUCUCUUUCGUGGAUAAUCUGCUCAGAUCUCUCCCAUCUGUUUACAGGGAAAGCUUUCAUUUGCCUGCAUCCCCUCCAGUCACCAAUGCUCCACCUUUCUCUUUCCUUUUCAGCUAAGCUUUUUGGAGACAUUUAUUUAAGAUGUUUACCUCCAUUCUCUCCUCUUCUGGAGUGGGCGGGGGGGGGGGCGGCUUCUGGCCACCCUAUGUCAUUGAAAUGUCUCUGCCAGUCACCUCGUUGCUGAGUUCAGUGGUUGCUUUCAGUCUUGAUUUUUAAGCAGCGUGUCUUCCUGUUUCCUAUUUUGUUUAGAUUGAAACUCUACUCCCUUGGCUUGUAAGGCAUUACUCCCCUCUAGAUUUCUUUCUUGAGGUCAUCCGGGAGCUCCUUUUCUUACUUUCAUCCUUUCCUUGUUGGUGUUACCCAGACUACGCCCCAGACCUCUUCCCAGGCAAUGUUAUUUAUACUCAUGGCUUUACCUGCCGUGCGCACACCGAUGUCCCCAGGUCUCUCUUUCCAACUCAUAAGCUAAUAAGUUAACCUGUUACUGAUUCCUCGAUGUUGGCAGAAGACACGAGACUCCGGGGUCAGAGACACAGGACUUUAUUACUCAGGCGCACACAGCAUGAGAAGCUGCAUAUUUGCAUCAAUUUCCCUUGCCUCUGAGUUCCCAUGGGGCAGCACGACGGGCCCAGAGGGAUGCUCUGCAAGCAGUGGGUUUGCCUCAUGGGGGAACUUGGGAAUAGAGCUAGGCAAUCCAUUGCUCAUGCAGGAAGCAGGAAGCAAGCCUAGAGGGAGACACGACCUCAUCUUUCAAGGUUGCUCGCCACAAAGACAACACUGAGAAGUGGCCCAGGUAACAAGUGGUCAGGGUCUUGCCCUCUUGGCACACACAGCAAGAUCCAGGGUGCGAAAGACUGGAGGAUUAUCUCUUCCAACGGAUCUACAUCUGGUCAACCAAGUGCAGUUAAUGGUGCUAAGGACGGUGACUGUCAUUUGUGCACAUCCACCGAGUGCUGCCUCAGGCUGUGUUCCUCGUGGAUAUUAUGCUAUGUUGCCCUUUCAACAACGGAGGUCUUUAUCAUUGUCCUGAUUUCACAGGUGCUGCACUGUCCUCAUGCCCUACCCUUCAGCCAUCAUCUCGUACUCGCUUACACCUCUCCAAAGAUGCCAUACUUUGUACCUUUGCACACGCAGCAUGGUCUUUCCAGGACAUCCUUCGCCUCCUUAAGAGACGCCUCAUCAUCCUUGAAGAUCCAGGUAAGGCGUCACCUCCCUUGAACACCCCCGUGCCCUCCUCUGUGUGACUCGAAUUCCCUGUGACCACCACAACAUAGCUUGUACCAUGUUUCUACUGUUCAUUGGCCUGUGGUGUUCCACCCAGAGAUUCCUUCUUCAUCGUCCCUUCUUAUCCUUUAGACUAAACUUGGAUGUCGCUUCCUCGGGGAUGGCCUCUGAGAUUCCCUUGCCUCCCACGGGCUGAAGUUAGGUGUCCAUCUUGCGUGUUCUUCGGGUCUCACUGUCUGCGCCAGACGUAGCUGUAACGACCUAGGCUCACCUCCAGGCCAGGGUGUCCCCCGGUGCCCACAGAGCACGGUGCCUGGCACACGGGAGGAGCUCAGAAAAUACUUGUUGAAUGAGAAAAAACCCAAAACCACACAUGGCCACCUCCAAUGUGUUAGCCUAGUGGCAGGAACUCGCUCCAUGGCAGGCGCUCGAUAAAAUGAUUGAACGAACCACAAAGAGCACUAAAACGGAGGUUGCGUUUAUUGACAGGGAAGCUACUGACGAGCCUCCGGAAAUCAGUUUGCAGAGAAUUAAGGAGAUUGUUCUUUCAAGAAACUUGUGAAUGGGACUGCUAUUUUUGUGGUGGUGGUGAUUUUUAUUUUUUAUUUAUUUUUAUUUUUUAAUUUUCAUUUAUUUUUUAAAUGCAUUUUUAAAAAACA